Molecule: ribosomal RNA, 444 nt
Filed under: uncultured bacterium
Lineage: Bacteria
Description: partial 16S ribosomal RNA
Rfam family: Bacterial small subunit ribosomal RNA
Source: RNAcentral
CCUACGGGAGGCAGCAGUGGGGAAUAUUGGGCAAUGGGCGCAAGCCUGACCCGGCAACGCCGCGUGAAGGAAGAAGGCUUUCGGGUUGUAAACUUCUUUUCUCAGGGACGAAGAAAGUGACGGUACCUGAGGAAUAAGCCACGGCUAACUACGUGCCAGCAGACGCGGUAAUACGUAGGUGGCAAGCGUUCUACGGAUUGAUUGGGUGUAAAGGGCGUGUAGGCGGGAGCGCAAGUCAGAUGUGAAAACUCAGGGCUCAACCCUGAGCCUGCAUUUGAAACUGUGUUUCUUGAGUGCUGGGGAGGCAAUCGGAAUUCCGUGUGUAGCGGUGAAAUGCGUAGAUAUACGGAGGAACACCAGUGGCGAAGGCGGAUUGCUGGACAGUAACUGACGCUGAGGCGCGAAAGCGUGGGGAGCAAACAGGAUUAGAUACCCCGGGUAGUC